AUCCCCCCACAUCUCACGGUCGCAGUCAGUUUCACAGAGCAGCGCAGGAGGACGAGACGACAGUUAAAGAACAUUAACAGUUUAGUUUGAAUCUCUCUCAGUCAGUCAGGGGGAGAUUAACUGACAGACUGUAUAACGUUACACGUCUUACCAAGAAACCUUUUAAAGUUUAGCACAAAUGUUUCCCGUGGAAGUUUGAAUCUCUCUCAGUCAGGGGGGAGAUUGACUGACAGACUGUCUACUUGCCACCAAACAGUAAUUACCCUGAAACCUUUUUAAGUAAGGACUAACGUAAACUGACUCUCUGUCUGCUCUCAACCAAACAGUCAUUUAAGACCUUCUAAAGCUUAGCGCAAACGUUUCCUGCGCAAGUUUGAAUCUCUCAGUCAGGGGGGAGAUUGACUGACUGACUGACUGUCUACUCGCCACCAAACGUCAAAAGUCAGUUACACAGAAUCCUUUUAAAAUUUAGCACAAACGUUUCCCGUGCAAGUUUGGAUCUUUACCAUUGAGGGUGGCUGACUGUUCUCGACCAACCAUCAUUCACACGCAAAAACUUUAAAGAUAAGUAUGAACGUGCCCAGAGCAGUUUUCGAUCUUUACCAUUAAGGAGGCUGACUGACUAUCGUCUACCACCCGUCAUUAACACAACAAAAACUAAAGAAAUGUUACUCCAUAUGGACCUAUUCAUUUACUCAUUAUGCUGUGAGUACACCACAGUUUUAUCAGGGAAAAAAUUUAUAUUUGUGUGUUUCUCACUGCUUGGCAAGGACAGAUGUGGCCCUGUUAAAAAUGUUUAAAUGUUGUUUGGUUUAAGGAACGAACAGCACACUGAUUUGUUUUAAAAUAUUCCUAUUUGGACAGUCUGUUAAAGCCAUAAAGGAAUACUUGAUAUAUUUCAUAAGUAACGUGUAAAUGUAAUAUUAGUUUUUA
Molecule: long non-coding RNA, 933 nt
Organism: Paramisgurnus dabryanus
Lineage: Eukaryota; Metazoa; Chordata; Actinopteri; Cypriniformes; Cobitidae
Source: RefSeq, a predicted model, not a curated record